UGCGUAGGAUGUACCACCCUGAACGCACCUGGGAAGCUAAGCAGGGUUGGGCCUGGUUAGUACUUGGAAGGGAGAUACUGUUUUAUCUCCUAUUGAAAAUGGAGCUUUUAUGUGG
Molecule: ribosomal RNA, 115 nt
Filed under: Microcebus murinus (gray mouse lemur)
Lineage: Eukaryota; Metazoa; Chordata; Mammalia; Primates; Cheirogaleidae
Source: RNAcentral